This 72-nucleotide small nucleolar RNA is filed under the name Atractosteus spatula (alligator gar). RNAcentral describes it as "Small nucleolar RNA SNORD63". It matches the Rfam family "Small nucleolar RNA SNORD63". From Rfam's summary of the family: snoRNA U63 is found in both humans and mice. U63 is a member of the C/D class of snoRNA which contain C (UGAUGA) and D (CUGA) box motifs. Most of the members of the box C/D family function in directing site-specific 2'-O-methylation of substrate RNAs. RNAcentral also lists the same sequence under 1 other name. The record is from Rfam by way of RNAcentral. Lineage: Eukaryota; Metazoa; Chordata; Actinopteri; Semionotiformes; Lepisosteidae.
GUGCUGUGAUGCUUUCUAUCAACACAUCAUUCUGACCCAAAACCGGGGAGAGAGUUUCUACCACUGAGCACA